UAGGGUCUUUGCAUUUCUGUCUGAAAAUCUCUAAUGUUGAAGGUCACUGCUUGGGCUGAGGUGACUGGAGUGCAAGAACAUACCAAAAUCUGAAGGGCAGAGCCCUGAAGCUGAACAAAUCGGUGGAUUCCAUCUUCUUGGCCCCUCUAUUCUGGAGUGAGAAAUCAGACUGAAUCUCAAGACUCCUGUGAUCAAGUCUAGAACAAAGGCUGAUU
Molecule: long non-coding RNA, 215 nt
Filed under: Sus scrofa (pig)
Lineage: Eukaryota; Metazoa; Chordata; Mammalia; Artiodactyla; Suidae
Description: lncRNA (ENSSSCG00040007040.1)
Source: RNAcentral